Molecule: transfer RNA, 77 nt
Filed under: Gallionella sp.
Lineage: Bacteria; Pseudomonadati; Pseudomonadota; Betaproteobacteria; Nitrosomonadales; Gallionellaceae
Also listed under: 1 other name
Description: tRNA-Val
Rfam family: tRNA
About the family: Transfer RNA (tRNA) molecules are approximately 80 nucleotides in length. Their secondary structure includes four short double-helical elements and three loops (D, anti-codon, and T loops).
Source: RNAcentral
AGGCGCGUAGCUCAGCUGGUUAGAGCACUUGGUCGACAUCCAAGGGGUCGAUGGUUCGAGUCCAUUCGUGCCUACCA